This 264-nucleotide ribosomal RNA is filed under the name uncultured bacterium. RNAcentral describes it as "partial 16S ribosomal RNA". It matches the Rfam family "Bacterial small subunit ribosomal RNA", at positions 57 to 305 of the family's 1533-position model. The record is from RNAcentral.
GCAAGUCGAACGGGAUUUAGUAGACCGAAGCUUCGGUGGACGAUUACUAAUGAGAGUGGCGAACGGGUGAGUAACGCGUGAGCAACCUGCCUAUGACAGUGGGAUAGCCUCGGGAAACCGGGAUUAAUACCGCAUCAAAUCGUAGAAACACAUAUUUAGCGGUCAAAGAUGUAUCGGUCAUAGAUGGGCUCGCGUCUGAUUAGCUAGUUGGUGAGAUAACAGCCCACCAAGGCGACGAUCAGUAGCCGGUCUGAGAGGAUGAAC